RNAcentral lists this ribosomal RNA (466 nucleotides) under uncultured bacterium. Its description in RNAcentral is "partial 16S ribosomal RNA". It matches the Rfam family "Bacterial small subunit ribosomal RNA", at positions 28 to 507 of the family's 1533-position model. The record is from RNAcentral.
GACGAACGCUGGCGGCGUGCUUAACACAUGCAAGUCGAACGGAAAGGCCCUGCUUGCAGGGUACUCGAGUGGCGAACGGGCGAGUAACACGUGGGUGAUCUGCCCUGCACUUCGGGAUAAGCUUGGGAAACUGGGUCUAAUACCGGAUAGGAGCCAUCUUUAGUGUGGUGGUUGGAAAGUUUUUUCGGUGUAGGAUGAGCUCGCGGCCUAUCAGCUUGUUGGUGGGGUAAUGGCCUACCAAGGCGGCGACGGGUAGCCGGCCUGAGAGGGUGUACGGCCACAUUGGGACUGAGAUACGGCCCAGACUCCUACGGGAGGCAGCAGUGGGGAAUAUUGCACAAUGGGCGCAAGCCUGAUGCAGCGACGCCGCGUGGGGGAUGAAGGCCUUCGGGUUGUAAACUCCUUUCGCUAGGGACGAAGCUUUGUUGUGACGGUACCUAGAUAAGAAGCACCGGCUAACUACGUG